This 497-nucleotide ribosomal RNA is filed under the name uncultured bacterium. Its description in RNAcentral is "partial 16S ribosomal RNA". It matches the Rfam family "Bacterial small subunit ribosomal RNA", at positions 28 to 507 of the family's 1533-position model. The record is from RNAcentral.
GAUGAACGCUGGCGGCGUGCCUAAUACAUGCAAGUCGAGCGGACAGAUGAGGAGCUUGCUCCUCUGACGUUAGCGGCGGACGGGUGAGUAACGCGUGGAUAACCUACCUAUAAGACUGGGAUAACUUCGGGAAACCGGAGCUAAUACCGGAUAAUAUAUUGAACCGCAUGGUUCAAUAGUGAAAGACGGUUUUGCUGUCACUUAUAGAUGGAUCCGCGCCGCAUUAGCUAGUUGGUAAGGUAACGGCUUACCAAGGCAACGAUGCGUAGCCGACCUGAGAGGGUGAUCGGCCACACUGGAACUGAGACACGGUCCAGACUCCUACGGGAGGCAGCAGUAGGGAAUCUUCCGCAAUGGGCGAAAGCCUGACGGAGCAACGCCGCGUGAGUGAUGAAGGUCUUCGGAUCGUAAAACUCUGUUAUUAGGGAAGAACAAAUGUGUAAGUAACUAUGCACGUCUUGACGGUACCUAAUCAGAAAGCCACGGCUAACUACGUG